UAGCAAGUGUUUCAUUAAUCCUUUCGCAAUUAUGUCCAUUUUAUGACAUAUGCCGCAACUAUAUGGUUAAGCACCACUUGAUUUUGAGAUUGCAGGAUCUCAGGGGCAUGACUGAAUCUGCUGGUAUGCGUCCAGUCAUCCUCAUCAAUCCUAGGCUUAAGACCUGCAUUCAGUGUUUUAGCAGAGUCUGCAACAAAUGUUUUGCCUCUUUCUAAUGAGCAUGGCUCUUUUUCUCCAGGAUUUACCAAGUUCCAGUGGUAUCAUGCAAGUAAGUACAAUGUUAAUAUGGGGAAACAAAAUGGAUAUAGAUUUGAACUGAUUCUCUUUAUCUUGAAACUUGUUUUGAAGACUAUGGGACAAAACAAGAGACUGGAGUAUGCUGCAUCAUUUGAGAAUUGCUAUUUCUUCCGGCUUCUCUAUUAUGCAGGAACUCAAUACCCAAUUAUGGCCGUGCAGAAGUACUGUUUGAGCACAAUGAAUGAUUGAAUUUGCAUGCAAUAAAACUAGAAUCAAUCAAGAUUUGGCCUUUUGGGGUGGCCCGUCCUUACCACCAGAGGUCUUCCCUUUUCUGCUUUCUCCAUCCCCUUGCCUAGCUGAAGAAAAAGGACAACGCAGAAGAAUUGCUAGGCUUUCUCAGAAUGAAAGUUGCGUGUGGAAGUAUGCAUUUCCUUCUGGAUGCAUGAAAAGGAUGUCCUACCCCUAUCAGCCCACGUACCUGUCCAACCCUCAAGCGCUGAACGGUCACUUCCACGCCUCCCACCUCCCCUGGGACACCACAGCUGACCUUGCCUCCUC
Eucalyptus grandis is the source of this 795-nucleotide RNA transcript. It is a transcript of the gene named adenylate kinase 5, chloroplastic-like, with no coding region annotated. The transcript is spliced from 3 exons. Lineage: Eukaryota; Viridiplantae; Streptophyta; Magnoliopsida; Myrtales; Myrtaceae. The record is from RefSeq and is a predicted model, not a curated record.